This 449-nucleotide ribosomal RNA is filed under the name uncultured organism. RNAcentral describes it as "partial 16S ribosomal RNA". It matches the Rfam family "Bacterial small subunit ribosomal RNA", at positions 334 to 799 of the family's 1533-position model. The record is from RNAcentral.
CACUCCUGCGGGAGGCAGCAGUGGGGAAUAUUGGACAAUGGGCGCAAGCCUGAUCCAGCCAUGCCGCGUGAGUGAUGAAGGCCCUAGGGUUGUAAAGCUCUUUCACCGGUGAAGAUAAUGACGGUAACCGGAGAAGAAGCCCCGGCUAACUUCGUGCCAGCAGCCGCGGUAAUACGACGGGGGCUAGCGUUGUUCGGAUUUACUGGGCGUAACGCGCACGUAGGCGGACUAUUAAGUCAGGGGUGAAAUCCCGGGGCUCAACCCCGGAACUGCCUUUGAUACUGGUAGUCUUGAGUUCGAGAGAGGUGAGUGGAAUUCCGAGUGUAGAGGUGAAAUUCGUAGAUAUUCGGAGGAACACCAGUGGCGAAGGCGGCUCACUGGCUCGAUACUGACGCUGAGGUGCGAAAGCGUGGGGAGCAAACAGGAUUAGAUACCCGUGUAGUCCCAUG